Molecule: ribosomal RNA, 492 nt
Filed under: uncultured bacterium
Lineage: Bacteria
Description: partial 16S ribosomal RNA
Rfam family: Bacterial small subunit ribosomal RNA
Source: RNAcentral
AGUGAACGCUGGCGGUAGGCCUAACACAUGCAAGUCGAACGGCAGCACAGUAAGAGCUUGCUCUUACGGGUGGCGAGUGGCGGACGGGUGAGGAAUACAUCGGAAUCUACUUUUUCGUGGGGGAUAACGUAGGGAAACUUACGCUAAUACCGCAUACGACCUACGGGUGAAAGCAGGGGAUCUUCGGACCUUGCGCGAUUGAAUGAGCCGAUGUCGGAUUAGCUAGUUGGCGGGGUAAAGGCCCACCAAGGCGACGAUCCGUAGCUGGUCUGAGAGGAUGAUUCAGCACCACUGAAACUGAGACCGGGCCAGACUUCCUACGGGAGGAGCAGGGGGGAAUAUUUGACCAUUGGGGGCAGCCUUAUCCAGGCAUACCGCGUGGGUGAAGAAGGCCUUCGGGUUGUAAAGCCCUUUUGUUGGGAAAGAAAAGCAGCAGGUUAAUACCCCGCUGUUCUGACGGUACCCAAAGAAUAAGCACCGGCUAACUUCGUG